This 446-nucleotide ribosomal RNA is filed under the name uncultured bacterium. RNAcentral's name for it is "SSU rRNA". It matches the Rfam family "Bacterial small subunit ribosomal RNA", at positions 26 to 518 of the family's 1533-position model. The record is from RNAcentral.
AGAGCGAACGCUGGCGGCAGGCCUAAUACAUGCAAGUCGAACGGACCCUUCGGGGUUAGUGGCGGACGGGUGAGUAACACGUGGGAACGUGCCCUUUGGUUCGGAACAACUCAGGGAAACUUGAGCUAAUACCGAAUGUGCCCUUCGGGGGAAAGAUUUAUCGCCAUUGGAGCGGCCCGCGUCUGAUUAGCUAGUUGGUGAGGUAAAGGCUCACCAAGGCUACGAUCAGUAGCUGGUCUGAGAGGAUGAUCAGCCACACUGGGACUGAGACACGGCCCAGACUCCUACGGGAGGCAGCAGUAGGGAAUCUUGCGCAAUGGGCGAAAGCCUGACGCAGCCAUGCCGCGUGAAUGAUGAAGGUCUUAGGAUUGUAAAAUUCUUUCAGCGGGGACGAUAAUGACGGUACCCGCAGAAGAACGCCCGGCUAACUUCGCGCCAGCAGCCGC